CGUAGGUGGCGAGCGUUGUCCGGAAUUACUGGGUGUAAAGGGAGUGUAGGCGGGAAGGCAAGUCAGAAGUGAAAUUAUGGGCUUAACCCAUAACCUGCUUUGAAACUGUUUCUUGAGUGAGGCAGAGGCAAGCGGAAUUUCUAGUGUAGCGGUGAAAUGCGUAGAUAUUAGGAGGAACACCAGUGGCGAAGGCGGCUUGCUGGGCCUUUACUGACGCUGAGGCUCGAAAGCGUGGGGAGCAAAACAGGAUU
Molecule: ribosomal RNA, 251 nt
Filed under: uncultured bacterium
Lineage: Bacteria
Description: partial 16S ribosomal RNA
Rfam family: Bacterial small subunit ribosomal RNA
Source: RNAcentral